Molecule: ribosomal RNA, 447 nt
Filed under: uncultured bacterium
Lineage: Bacteria
Description: bacterial SSU rRNA
Rfam family: Bacterial small subunit ribosomal RNA
Source: RNAcentral
AGCGAACGCUAGCGGCGGGCCUAACACAUGCAAGUCGAGCGCAUACCUUCGGGUAUGAGCGGCGGACGGGUGAGUAACGCGUAGGUCAUCUACCCUUUGGUGGGGGAUAACCCAGGGAAACUUGGGCUAAUACCGCACGAGGUCCACGGAUCAAAGCCUUCGGGCGCCAGAGGAUGAGCCUGCGUCGCAUUACCUAGUUGGCGGGGUAACGGCCCACCAAGGGGACGAUGCGUAGCUGGUCUGAGAGGAUGAUCAGCCACACUGGGACUGAGACACGGCCCAGACUCCUACGGGAGGCAGCAGUGGGGAAUAUUGCGCAAUGGGGGAAACCCUGACGCAGCCACGCCGCGUGGGUGAUGAAGGCCUUCGGGUUGUAAAGCCCUGUCGGGAGGGACGAAUUCUUGACGGUACCUCCAAAGAAAGCACCGGCUAACUCCGUGCCAGCAG